RNAcentral lists this ribosomal RNA (225 nucleotides) under uncultured bacterium. RNAcentral describes it as "partial 16S ribosomal RNA". It matches the Rfam family "Bacterial small subunit ribosomal RNA", at positions 109 to 334 of the family's 1533-position model. The record is from RNAcentral.
CGUAACACGUAUACAAUCUGCCCAUAUCAGGAGAAUAGCCCGGAGAAAUUCGGAUUAAUGCUCCAUAACAUAAUGAAACGGCAUCGUUUUAUUAUUAAAGUUCCGACGGAUAUGGAUGAGUAUGCGGAUGAUUAGCUAGUUGGUAGUGUAAUGGACUACCAAGGCUACGAUCAAUAGGGGUACUGAGAGGUUAAACCCCCACACUGGUACUGAGACACGGACCAG